Molecule: ribosomal RNA, 273 nt
Filed under: uncultured bacterium
Lineage: Bacteria
Description: partial 16S ribosomal RNA
Rfam family: Bacterial small subunit ribosomal RNA
Source: RNAcentral
UACGAGAGGCCCAAACGUUAUUCGGAUUUACUGGGCUUAAAGAGUUCGUAGGCGGCGCGGAAAGUAGGGUGUGAAAGCCCUCGGCUCAACCGAGGAAUUGCGCUCUAAACUGUCGCGCUCGAGGAACCUAGAGGUGAGCGGAACUGAUGGUGGAGCGGUGAAAUGCGUUGAUAUCAUCAGGAACACCGGAGGCGAAGGCGGCUCACUGGGGGUUAUCUGACGCUGAGGAACGAAAGCCAGGGGAGCAAACGGGAUUAGAAACCCCCGUAGUCC